Molecule: long non-coding RNA, 397 nt
Filed under: Medicago truncatula (barrel medic)
Lineage: Eukaryota; Viridiplantae; Streptophyta; Magnoliopsida; Fabales; Fabaceae
Description: long non-coding RNA (MTRU_LNC003688)
Source: RNAcentral
UGCACCUAAAUUCAACGACACUCUUAAUGAUCAAAAUUCUGCAAACAUUCCACCAUCUUUGCAGUUUCAUGAUAGGGUAAAUGAUAAUAAGCAUUCUUCCAUUGUUUCUCCAUCAUCUCACUCUUAUACACCUGGAGUUUAUCCUUCCCAAGACUACCAUCCUCCUCCAUCUUCCCAGGAUUAUCAUCACCCACCACCUUCCCAAGAAUACCAUCCUCCUCCACCUUCCCAAGAUUACCAUCCUCCGCCACCUUCCCAGGAUUAUCCUCCUCCACCUUCCCAGGAUUACCAUCCUCCUCCACCUUCUCAAGAUUAUCAACCCCCUCCACCUUCCCAAGAUUACCAUCAGCCUCCACCUGCAAGAUCAGACAGUUCUUAUUCCGAGCCCUACAACCAC